RNAcentral lists this long non-coding RNA (4927 nucleotides) under Varroa destructor (honeybee mite). RNAcentral describes it as "uncharacterized LOC111253377". Lineage: Eukaryota; Metazoa; Arthropoda; Arachnida; Mesostigmata; Varroidae. The record is from RNAcentral.
UCAACUGGCACAGAUCCGGCACGUGGCUGCACAUCUACGUGGAGGGCGACAUAAGGCGGAAACGAAGCAUACAAAAAAUUUUGUUAACCAUUAUAAGGAAUAUAUUGUGUAUUAAUUCAUUAGAAGACACAAUUUACAGUGCUACAUUUUUUCUGUCUCCAAAUGCAGUGCAGGUCACGAGGCUUUCUCUCAAACCUAAUCUCGACUAAUAAAAAUACUCAGGUUUUGGAGAAACCUAUAUUAUAUAAUGAUCAAGCCGCAGUAAGUAAUUGUAAUAAAAUUGAAAUAAAAACAAGAAAUCGAGAAAGCAAAAUACAUUUAUUAAUAUUUUCCAUUAUCCAUUAAGGUUGUCGUUGUUUUAUCAAUCAGAGACAAAUUUCUUAAUAAAUAUGGAAUUUAUUGUGUCGAAUCUUCCGAUGAACUGAGAAAAGUGAUUCGCAACCUGAAACGACAGCGACUUAUUACGUUCAGUUAAGAUAUUCCACUAAUUAUUAUGCUUGACGCUAAAAUGUUUUUCUACAGACUGACAACAUGACCGUGGAAACUCCACAAUGACAAUACAGGAUGAAACGAUUCUAUUUAUUUACCUAAUCGAAACUUCCAUUCAAUUACCAGGCUCUGGCAGUUUGAUACCCCUGAAAGAAGGCUUCAUCAAAUGAGAUUAUAAACAUCCAGCAAAUGCGUACUAAGCCACAAAUAGUGGCUGCGCCUAAAUACGUUUCGGGAACAAACAGAAACAUGUUUAUAAUUUAUAAAGGAGACGUAACUUAAUUCCUCAACCGAAGCAUUGCUAAGCGUCCGGCUCGUUAAAACAUUUUUACGAAAGCCGCGAGUGAAAAUGUUUAAAGACCAUGACUUCGCAGCUCAUUGUUUGCGUGAACAAAGGCGCGCAUGCUCCUCAACAAAUAUGCGUAUAUAAUGAUUUGUAGGUAGGUGGUAUCGUUUACACACAAUACAAGUUCGCAUCUUUUAGAGCUUUCAAUGAUAACAUACUACUGUUAAUAUUAUCCCUUUAGCUAUACACAUUGACCCGUGGUUGCGCAGUGGUAACGUGUUUGCCUACUAAACCUAAAGAUAUGUGUUGGUCUAGAUCAAAACCGGGCGUAGACGCACUUCCUUUUAUGCUAGCACUUAGCCGUCUAAAGCAUCGCUUAACGGCAAUAUAAGACGUAAAGCUCCUAAUAUCUGUUUAACUAUAGUACUGUGUCUAAUUAAGUUGAUCAAUCACAAGUAAUCAUGUUUGGUACGUCGGACACUUGCAAAAAUCAAGGGUUCUUUUUCUGCACCUUAACCUGAAAUUUAAAAAAAUUUGCACGGUUUCUUUAGACAAAACUUGUCUAGCAAACAAAUUAAAUGCUUCUAGUAAAGCUAGAAUAACGAAAACGAUAAGAUGUGGAACUAUGAUCCUAUCGAUGACGUAAAUGUAACAAACGCUUGAUUAGUGAUGAUGCCAAAGUAUUACACAAAUCUGAGCUGUCCGCAUGUAGCUAGCCCUUCUUGCAUAUUCAGUCGGUUUUCCUGUAUCGCCCCAGUCGGCAGCGCUUUAGUUGAAAAAUUUUAUAUUCUGCUAAUUACGACCAAUUUUAAAUAUUUUUCUAUUUAGUGACACAUGAUACGUCAUAUGUCGACAGCAACGCUUUUUUGGUGGAAAUUUAGGCAUUACAGAAUUAACGUGGAACAAUUUUCAAGCGGAUUAGAAUGACAGGUUUUACCGACGUGUGCUUGUGCACAGCUCCGAAACGAAGCACAAUGCGCCGAAGUUUGACAGUUCCGCACACUAUAUCGAUAUCGUGCCAAGUGCUUCCAGCGACUCAAAAAUGGCAAGUAUAAAUAUGACGCUCAUAAGAAAAUACUUAAUGGAUAAUAUCUUAUUGCUAUAUAUUUUUCUGUUCAAUAUGUCAGAAUUCUCAAAAAAAAAAUCAUAAAAACGAUCGCUGAAAUAAUAACCAAAACAGUAUUGGUCACAUAUGAGGAAAAUAAUUCUUGUUUUGAUACUGCCGCUAAAAAUAGGGGAGAAGAUUUCGCCUAGGAACUUCGAUAACAAUCAGCCAAUUUUCUGGACUUGGUACGAACCGAUCGUUAGUCUAUUUCAAUCAAUCCAACUACGUCCAUUUCAAGACAUGACUUCAGUUGUACUUAAUGGAUUGCGAUAGAAAAUUAAGCGUCCUUUUAUUGAAAAAGCUUUGCAGCCAUCAGUCUAAGAGGAUAAAGCAAUAACUAAAACACAUUUCCUUUUUAGACGGGUGUUCAAGUGUCUUGAACCGCUGUCGAAAUUCACAAGACGCCUAACAUGUUGUAGAGCCUGAGCUGAGUGUUAUUGUGACUAGCAUAAUAUGGCUUCGGAAUACGAACAACGGCUAGCGCUUGGGAAAUUGUUGAACCCGUUCUUCAGCGAUGGAGUGUCCGCCGAUACCAUUAUCGACUUGAUUGGUUACUGUGACAUACAACAUGUUCAGACUGUUGCUGUUAGUCGUGGCGAGUCGAACGGUCAGUGUUCAUGAAAUGCUUCGCUAACAAAACAAAAAUGUCUUGUCGAGCCGAGAUAAUCUUAUACCUUCGCAAACCUAGCCAUAAACAGCCCCGAUUCAACUCUACUCUCGAUCAGCAUGCUUCAGUGUUCAGCGCAACGCCGUCCACUGAGGUUCUAACCUUUCCGUCUAAAAUGUGAUGAUCGUAUUAUAAAUUUUGAUUACUGUCGCCUACAACAAUGCUGAUGAUUAAAUCUGGUUACUCCCCCAACACACCGAUACCUGUAUGAGAGUUAAAGACCUCGGUAAUUAGUUAGUUCUUUUUAAACACAGAUUUAUCAACUGUAGGUAUAUUGAAAGUUCUUCGUACAGACGGAGAUCAAGUGAGAAAGUGUGAGAACCAAUGAAUCCAUAUUAACAAUAUAGAAUAACGGUAUGCUAAAGCAUUGAGUCACGACGUAGACUCAGUUCCAUGGCUAAAACAUUGACCUUACAAAGGUCGAGAAUUCAAAUUUUCUGGCUGGCGCUUUUUAAAUCUGUAUAAUAAAAAUACAAGUCGACUUGUUAACCCUAAUAAAGCGUUACACCAGAAGCUCUGACUUGUUAUAGAUUAUUUAGCUGGGUAUAUAGACAUAUCGUCAGGGAGAUGCGCAGGCUUUCCUACUGAUUGUAUUUUGCUUGUGCCAUUUAAACAUAUUCACUAUAAUUAAAAUUCCAGCUUAAUACUUGCCUUUUUCCAAUAGAAAAAAAACAACUUGAAUUGAAAUUAUCAAGCAAAUUGUGUGAAACGGAAGACCUCCCAGUCCACCUAACGCUGACGCUCUAUGUUAGCUAAGUUGUAAGGUUCUAUGUAUGUUAUAGAAAAAGAAGAAAGAAAAGUCUAUGAUGAGUAUUUUGAUUAACAGAUGUCAUAGUACUAUUAUUACGACAUAGAUGAAAGACUAUCUGUAUGAUAUAACCAUACUUACUUCGAGUAAGAUAAAUAAGAAAAAAAAAAGGAAGAAGCAAAGAAGGGUUUGAUUUUUUAUACAUGCGUCAAUCUUUUUGUAUCCAAUAAAAAUUGAAACUAACAUUUCCUUAGAAUUAGUUUUGCAAUAAAUAUUGUACUCCAUAAUUUGUUUUUUUUAAAGGGUUUUAGCCUGCUUAAGCUCACCUGAUUUUUACUUGAAACUUUUUGUUUUGAUUCAAUUGACUGAUGGAGUCGUCGGAUAUUGUUGCGAGUAGACAACUUCCAUUUAACAACAGAAAUUGGCUCCAAAUUGUCAGACCAUAUUGUCUACUUACUUAUUUAACUUAAAACCCGUUACAUAUUUGAUUACUUGCAAAUAUGCGUAAAUUAGAACCAAGUUGUAUUACGCGCGGUGCCUUUGAAUUGAAAUGAUGAAUGAAACUAUAUAUGCUAAGUCAAAUGGCUUGGCUUUAAAAAUGUAACCAGGAUAGAGUUAUAAAAUAAAAACGGAUUAAAAACGGUUGCCGUUUUGAAAAUCGCAGAAAUGUCACGUUACCUAAAACUGAUGUGCCGAAUCGAAUACGCCUUCGACAAACAAAAUUAUUACAUUACUUAAAUUAUUAAUUUCCAAUGCAAAAGCAAUGAAAGUAUGGUUAUAUACUCAUCAUUCGCGGUAUAUAAAACUUCAACCUCUAGAUUGUAUGACAAGUAGGUAUUCUUGGUUUAAAAAAUUACAGCAUUUUUGCGCGCCAGAGAAAUUUGUUCCCGAUAUAACAAGUGUCUAACUUUCUGACCAGGUUUUGAUGAGCUUCUAAAGCCAGUCGUAAGAUCCCAGUGUUGCGGAGAAAAAGGUAAAAAAUUAGAUUUUUCGACAACUCCAUGCAUUCUUGAAAGAUGUGCAGGGUGAUACUUCGAACAAAUAGCGCAAUUUACGUGCAUGGACUUCACACAUUUUCCGUUAAAGCACGUCACCUCGUACCACGUUACUUUAUCCGGUGGUGUAUAUUGAGACACAAUGGCACCUCACUCGUUAAUAAGGUAUACACGAAGGCACCUUGCACAAAACAGAUACAAUGUCUAUUUACUUGUCGCAAGUCCAUAAAGGUGGCACGAUUGUCGCUGCAAAAUCUCUGGCACCUACAUUUUUCUUUUGCAAAGUCCCAUUGUUUAAUUUUUAUUGACACGAGAAAACGAUUCGCCGCCUAAUCAAAACAGCUGCUUCAUAGUAUGUUAUCUUGCCGCGCACAUCGAUGUUCUAAUGGACGAGUGCAUCGGCAAGUCGUACAAACUUAAAGCUUUUAUUACAACUAAGUUUAUUUUUAUCAUUUUCAUGGCCGGCUGUGGAGUUUAAAAAUGUGGUAAACACUCAGGGAAUCUAUACACCCGUCAGUCUGAAAGAAGUCUACGAGCUGAAGUAUGGCCAGCGACUGGAAAAAGAAAAUAAUAGUCGGUAGUCAAGCCGAUGGUCGAUUCAUUUACCGUAAUGUUUAUCCCAGCCCAUAUAGAGAAG